UAUUGUCCGAGAAUGUUCAGAGAGGUUUUAUUUGCCUGAAGACAACGCAUCUAAUUUUCAUCACUCCAUCCAUGCAACUGACAAAGUCCUAAUCAAUACACUACUCUAUAUCUUGUGAUCCAUCAGCAAGAAGUCCAACGACAAGUGGAAACUCUGUUGUCCCAGGGAACUAUUAAACGCUCAACCUCGCCAUACAAUGCAUCUCUGUGGAUUGUACCUAAAAAACCUGACGCAGAUGGCAACAGACGUUGGCGAAUAGCUAUUGACUUCCGAGCAUCAAGAGCUUUAAUAAGAUAAAAUUGAUAUCAGCCGUCAAGAUGUUGAGCCUUACUUCAUGCCCAAUGAUGAGCACGUUGCCAACGGCAUCGAGGGGACAAUCCGCAAUCACGCUGAUAAACAUUCACUUCGUCAGCCCUGUCUUGCAAACCCAUUGCAGUGAACGCUGUGUAUCAUAUUAGAAAAAGAUGUAACGGGUCUCUCUCAGGAAAAGGACAAUGCUCUCGCGGCCAAUGAUAAGAACGUGCUCAACGGCUUCGCGAAGCCGAAGUGCUAAGUUUUACACAAAAGUUAAAACAGCGAUAGCUUAGUACGUUCGAGGAGGAGUUAUGCAUAUUUAAGCGAGUACAACGGAUGGUUGCUCAAGCAGUUUUUCAAGUGAAAUUGUUUGUUCAAAUAAAUCUAUACCUAUGUAUUGAUGUCGACGGAAGUCGACCUCUGAAGGACACAACAAGGGCAUGAUUUUUUUAUUUUUUAUUUUUUGUUUCGCAGAAUUUUCGAUGCUCAAUAAAAUUUCUAAUGAAAUCCAUAUGGAAGAAAUAUAUUUGAAACUUUGAGCACAAUCAGUACAAAAAAAUUGUUUAAUCAUGCCAUAGUACAUAUAUCGAGGUCGAUGCAAGCCGAUCUCUGAAUGAUAUACCCAAGAAGGUGAAUUUCCAGACCUCUACUCCAGACCUCAUUUUUAAGGAUGAAGGGUAACUAAAUAAAUUAAUUACUAAUAGACAUUUUUUACUAAUUAUUUUUUUACAGUAUUCAUUGCUGGAAUAAAUUGCUGAACUUCGUUGCUGGAAUGCAAUUCGUAAGACAGUGGCGCAGAGCGUUUAGAAAAUUCCAAAUUGAAGACGAGAAUUCGAUUGAAGAAUAUAUUUGAUCCACAUCGUUACUAUUAUUGCAUAUUUUUUAAUUUUACUUAAUUAACGAUCUUUAUUACAUUUUUUUAUUUUACUUAAUCAUUUCACACAACAUUUCUUUUCUUUUAUUAUUUCUAUAAUAUUCUGCUAAGCCACGUAAAAAGUUUAUUUACUUACUAUGUCUUCGAAUACGUUUUUAAGUUCCUAUUGGUCCUGAUAAUAAUACUUUUCUUCCACUCGGAUUUCAUUCUUAGUUAUUUUAUAGAGCUUUGAAAACUCUGCGAAACAAAAAGUAAAAAAUAAAAAACUUUCAAAAAAA
This is a non-coding RNA of Megalopta genalis, 1446 nucleotides long. The record is from RefSeq and is a predicted model, not a curated record. Lineage: Eukaryota; Metazoa; Arthropoda; Insecta; Hymenoptera; Halictidae.